GCAAGCUCGGUUGGUAGAGCAUGAGACUCUCAAUGUCAGGGUCAUGGGUUUGAGCCCCACAUUGGGCA
This is a non-coding RNA of Podarcis lilfordi (Lilford's wall lizard), 68 nucleotides long. Lineage: Eukaryota; Metazoa; Chordata; Lepidosauria; Squamata; Lacertidae. The record is from the annotation of a GenBank genome assembly.